CCCAGACUCCUACGGGAGGCAGCAGUGGGGAAUAUUGCACAAUGGGGGAAACCCUGAUGCAGCAACGCCGCGUGAGUGAAGAAGUCAUUCGUGAUGUAAAGCUCUAUCAGCAGGGAAGAAAAUGACGGUACCUGAGUAAGAAGCCCCGGCUAACUACGUGCCAGCAGCCGCGGUAAUACGUAGGGAGCAAGCGUUAUCCGGAUUUAUUGGGUGUAAAGGGUGCGUAGACGGAGAAGCAAGUUAGUUGUGAAAUCCCUCGGCUUAACUGAGGAACUGCAACUAAAACUACUUCCCUUGAGUACUGGAGAGGAAAGUGGAAUUCCUAGCGUAGCGGUGAAAUGCGUAGAUAUUAGGAGGAACACCAGUGGCGAAGGCGACUUUCUGGACAGUAACUGACGUUGAGGCACGAAAGCGUGGGGAGCAAACAGGAUUAGAUACCCCAGUA
RNAcentral lists this ribosomal RNA (445 nucleotides) under uncultured bacterium. RNAcentral's name for it is "bacterial SSU rRNA". It matches the Rfam family "Bacterial small subunit ribosomal RNA", at positions 330 to 792 of the family's 1533-position model. The record is from RNAcentral.